This 432-nucleotide ribosomal RNA is filed under the name uncultured bacterium. RNAcentral describes it as "partial 16S ribosomal RNA". It matches the Rfam family "Bacterial small subunit ribosomal RNA", at positions 29 to 507 of the family's 1533-position model. The record is from RNAcentral.
AACGAACGCUGGCGGCAUGCCUAACACAUGCAAGUCGAACGAAGGCUUCGGCCUUAGUGGCGCACGGGUGCGUAACGCGUGGGAAUCUGCCCUUUGGUUCGGAAUAACAGCUGGAAACGGCUGCUAAUACCGGAUGAUGACGAAAGUCCAAAGAUUUAUCGCCAGAGGAUGAGCCCGCGUUGGAUUAGGUAGUUGGUGGGGUAAAGGCCUACCAAGCCGACGAUCCAUAGCUGGUCUGAGAGGAUGAUCAGCCACACUGGGACUGAGACACGGCCCAGACUCCUACGGGAGGCAGCAGUGGGGAAUAUUGGACAAUGGGCGCAAGCCUGAUCCAGCAAUGCCGCGUGAGUGAUGAAGGCCCUAGGGUUGUAAAGCUCUUUUACCCGGGAAGAUAAUGACUGUACCGGAGAAUAAGCCCCGGCUAACUCCGUG